GUAUUUACCUGGACGGGAAACACAAUGACCAGGAACAUGGUUUUCUCGGGAGGAGUGUCCUCCAUUAUACUACAGAUGUCCUGACCUCAGAAAUGUUCCCAGAUUUGAGAAACUGGACUACAGAAUUGAUGGUUGUGGGGGAUUUUGCAUUUCCCGCG
Microtus oregoni (creeping vole) is the source of this 158-nucleotide small nuclear RNA. RefSeq annotates it as U1 spliceosomal RNA. The transcript has a single exon. NCBI's taxonomy places the organism in Eukaryota, Metazoa, Chordata, Mammalia, Rodentia, Cricetidae. The record is from RefSeq and is a predicted model, not a curated record.